Molecule: ribosomal RNA, 442 nt
Filed under: uncultured bacterium
Lineage: Bacteria
Description: bacterial SSU rRNA
Rfam family: Bacterial small subunit ribosomal RNA
Source: RNAcentral
CCUACGGGGGGCUGCAGUCACGAAUCUUCCUCAAUGGCCGAAAGGCUGAAGGAGCGACGCCGCGUGUAUGAUGACGCCCCUUGGGGUGUAAAGUACUUUUAUAUGGGAAGAACAAAUGACGGUACCAUAUGAAUAAGGGGCUGCUAAACUCGUGCCAGCAGCAGCGGUAAUACGAGUGCCCCGAGCGUUAUCCGGAUUUAUUGGGCGUAAAGCGUGCGUAGGCGGUUUGUAACAUCUCCUGUAAAAUCCCAAGGCUCAACCUUGGGCCUGCGGGAGAUAUGGACAAACUAGAGACUGGAAGAGGCAAGCGGAAUUGCUGGUGUAGGGGUUAAAUCCGUUAAUAUCAGCAGGAACGCCAAAAGUGAAGACAGCUUGCUAGCACAGAUCUGACGCUAAGGCACGAAAGCGUGGGGAGCGAAUGGGAUUAGAUACCCGUGUAGUC